ACAGAACCGGUGGGGAAUGGACUGCAGAUACAGCACAUACCUGCCCUGGAAGGGAGAUCUGGCCAGAUACAGCACAUACCUGCCCUGGAAGGGAGAUCUGGCCAGCUGCAGUUUGCUAAAGCCACACCAGGUAAUAGGAAAAGAGCCUCUUUAUGAUGGGCUGUGUUGCUGAACUUGGUCUUAGUUUGGCUCUGGCUGGCUAUCCAGGGUGAUCCAGCUGGCUGGUCUGGGAGGAUAUGUUGACCCAGCCAUCAGCUGGCCUCUCUGGGUUCAGAUCUUUUUGUUGCAAAAACCUACUCAGAGCUUGAGAAGAAUGGACUUGGGAUGAGCUAGAAAAACUGGAACAGCCCAGGCCCAUGAGAUCUGGGGUUUCCAGGUUAUUUACUAGGGUGCCUGGUUGGUUCCUCAUUCUCAGACAGCAGAUUUGGGCCUUGGCUAUGACUCUUCCAGUUGAGGGACACUUCUGGGAGAGACAUUUCCUCUCAUCUGGGUUGACAUGGCUUUUUCUUGGCUUUGUUGUUCUUUGAAAUGUUAUUAAAUGCAGUAUUUGACCCUGCCAUGUCGUUCUCCAUCCAGUGACACCCCCUAGCAAUGCCCAAUGAGCAUACCAGUAAUUUUAGGGCUAGAAUAUGCAUUCCUGGGCCUUGGGGCAGCCCGGGCAAGUCUGCGGAUCCUUGUGCAUGCGUGUCACAAGAAAGGGUUGCCCACAUGGAGUAUACUGCCAUGUUUGUCCACAGAUAGGUAACAACAAAUGCCACCUGCUUUCCCGUAACCCUAGCAAAACACAGAACUUUGUAGACUUUGCCUGUUUGCCCUUGGACAUUUAGGUAUGUAGUACAAACAUUAGAGUGCCUCAAACUAUUGCAAAAUUGCCAGGCCAAACACUAGGUAGGUUAAUUAUUUACAGAGACUGGAUUGAUUGUCCAAACCUGCACAAACAGAUAGGCUUUUCCCUUGGGAGGCAUCUUCAGCCUCUUCGCCUGUAAACUCUUGUAUGCUUUUGUUCCAGUGUCAUUUCUUUCUUUGCAUUCAGUAGAUAAUCAUCAUGGCAAUUAUAAUUUCAAUGUUUAUGCUAUUUAGUAUAGAAUGAAGUUAAAACAACUUAUUUCUCUACCAAUAAACGCUUAAUUCGAUGGUAA
RNAcentral lists this long non-coding RNA (1139 nucleotides) under Homo sapiens (human). RNAcentral's name for it is "novel transcript, sense intronic to ADCY1". Lineage: Eukaryota; Metazoa; Chordata; Mammalia; Primates; Hominidae. The record is from RNAcentral.